UGGGCACUCUAGAUAGACUGCCGGUGACAAACCGGAGGAAGGUGGGGAUGACGUCAAAUCAUCAUGCCCCUUAUGACCUGGGCUACACACGUACUACAAUGGCCGGUACAACGGGCUGCGAAAUCGCGAGAUGGAGCCAAUCCCAACAAAGCCGGUCUCAGUUCGGAUUGCAGGCUGCAACUCGCCUGCAUGAAGUCGGAAUUGCUAGUAAUCGCGGAUCAGCAUGCCGCGGUGAAUACGUUCCCGGGUCUUGUACACACCGCCCGUCACACCACGAGAGUUUAUAACACCCGAAGUCGGUGGGGUAACCGCAAGGAGCCAGCCGCCGAAGGUGGGAUAGAUGAUUGGGGUGAAGUCGUAACAAGGUAGCCGUAUCGGAAGGUGCGGCUGGAUCACCUCCUUU
This 403-nucleotide ribosomal RNA is filed under the name Paenibacillus sp. CFBP 13594. Its description in RNAcentral is "bacterial SSU rRNA". It matches the Rfam family "Bacterial small subunit ribosomal RNA", at positions 1132 to 1533 of the family's 1533-position model. The record is from RNAcentral. Lineage: Bacteria; Bacillati; Bacillota; Bacilli; Caryophanales; Paenibacillaceae.